Molecule: ribosomal RNA, 578 nt
Filed under: uncultured bacterium
Lineage: Bacteria
Description: bacterial SSU rRNA
Rfam family: Bacterial small subunit ribosomal RNA
Source: RNAcentral
ACGGGUGAGUAAUAUAUCGGAACGUGCCCUGGAGUGGGGGAUAACUAGUCGAAAGAUUAGCUAACACCGCAUACGAUCUGAGGAUGAAAGUGGGGGAUCGCAAGACCUCAUGCUCCUGGAGCGGCCGAUAUCUGAUUAGCUAGUUGGUGGGGUAAAAGCCCACCAAGGCGACGAUCAGUAGCUGGUCUGAGAGGACGACCAGCCACACUGGGACUGAGACACGGCCCAGACUCCUACGGGAGGCAGCAGUGGGGAAUUUUGGACAAUGGGCGCAAGCCUGAUCCAGCAAUGCCGCGUGUGUGAAGAAGGCCUUCGGGUUGUAAAGCACUUUUGUCAGGAACGAAACGGACUGGGUUAAUACCUCGGUCUAAUGACGGUACCUGAAGAAUAAGCACCGGCUAACUACGUGCCAGCAGCCGCGGUAAUACGUAGGGUGCAAGCGUUAAUCGGAAUUACUGGGCGUAAAGCGUGCGCAGGCGGUUGUGCAAGACAGAUGUGAAAUCCCCGGGCUUAACCUGGGAACUGCAUUUGUGACUGCACGGCUAGAGUGUGUCAGAGGGGGGUAGAAUUCCACGUGU